RNAcentral lists this long non-coding RNA (198 nucleotides) under Dendronephthya gigantea. Its description in RNAcentral is "uncharacterized LOC114542405". Lineage: Eukaryota; Metazoa; Cnidaria; Anthozoa; Malacalcyonacea; Nephtheidae. The record is from RNAcentral.
AUGAAAAUGGCAUCACUAACAGGGAUUGGAAGCCAGAAAAUGUUUUAUUGUGUUCCUCGUAUGAUGAAACGCUUAUAAAGAUCAGAAUUCCUAUAUGGAAACACUCUGUGGUACACCAAGUUACCUCGCUACCAAAAUGUUAAUCCCGUAGCCUGAAGAACGAUCCUACAAGAAAUCGUGUGACUGCUGGAGCCUGGG